RNAcentral lists this ribosomal RNA (540 nucleotides) under uncultured bacterium. RNAcentral's name for it is "bacterial SSU rRNA". It matches the Rfam family "Bacterial small subunit ribosomal RNA", at positions 94 to 630 of the family's 1533-position model. The record is from RNAcentral.
AGCGGCGAACGGGUGAGUAAUGCUUCGGAAUCUACCCAGUAGUGGGGAACAACCAGCCGAAAGGUUGGCUAAUACCGCAUACGUCCUACGGGGGAAAGCAGGGGAUCGUAAGACCUUGCGCUAUUGGAUGAGCCGAAGUCGGAUUAGCUAGUUGGUAGGGUAACGGCCUACCAAGGCGACGAUCCGUAGCUGGUCUGAGAGGACGACCAGCCACACUGGGACUGAGACACGGCCCAGACUCCUACGGGAGGCAGCAGUGGGGAAUAUUGGACAAUGGGGGAAACCCUGAUCCAGCGACGCCGCGUGUGUGAAGAAGGCCUGCGGGUUGUAAAGCACUUUUAGUGGGGAUGAAAAGCCCAGGGAUAACACCUCUGGGUCUUGACCUAACCCACAGAAAAAGCACCGGCUAACUCUGUGCCAGCAGCCGCGGUAAUACAGAGGGUGCAAGCGUUAAUCGGAAUUACUGGGCGUAAAGCGUGCGUAGACGGUUUCGUAAGUCGGGUGUGAAAGCCCCGGGCUCAACCUGGGAAUUGCAUUCGA